This 1267-nucleotide long non-coding RNA is filed under the name Equus asinus (donkey). RNAcentral's name for it is "lncRNA (ENSEASG00005037433.1, ENSEASG00020017539.1)". Lineage: Eukaryota; Metazoa; Chordata; Mammalia; Perissodactyla; Equidae. The record is from RNAcentral.
GUUGAAGCCGUAGGUAAUAAGCUCACCCACAAAAAAUCUUUAAAGUGAGACAAGAAAAGCAUUAAGGGUGAAAUUCCUGUGAAACAUGUACCUUUAAAGAUUGCUGGAAGGGAAAGAGACUUGAGGCCUGGCCAGAGAAGGAGAACAAGGAGCGAUUGCUAUCUUAGCAGUAAGGGAACAAGAAAGUUUCUGGAAAGGCGUAACAGUGAUGAAUGCUCCCCAGAGGUCAAGGUGGGGACUGAAUUCUUUGGGUUCAACAAUUAGAAGGCCGCUCUUUACCUCGGUGUCAGUAGUCGCAGGUAGGCGUGGUGAUGGUGGAAACCAGGUUGCGGUGGUUAACGGGGCUGGAAGGCAAGACAUGGAUGAAAGAAGAAUGAGAUAAAGAACCAGGGGUUACAGCAUAUAUUCCUGAAAUUCUGGAUGGUGGAAAUCCUUGCCCUCUAAAAGCAGAAGUCCCUCUGGGUGCAGACUGAUGCUUCCCUUCAAAUCUGGAGCUGGAGAAGUUUCGUCAUGGAGAAAGAGCCCUCUCCCACCUGCGCCCAGCGCUUUUGACUUUGAAUCACCUCAAGGUGAAGGACGAUAAUUAGUAUACUUACUUAACGCAGGUCUGGCUUAUUACCUUCUGAACGGGGUGGGGGCCGUUUCCUCCCUUGCCUGUGUGGGUUGGAAGGACAGCCUGGGAUGGAUGUCAUCUGCUCCUUGAUGUAAGGAAGGGAGACUAACACAAGGCGUUAAAAACAUCUUUUUCCUUACUUCACUCGACUCCUUGCAUCUGUCACAGACCCUGCCAGGCUGACAGAACAUUACACAAAUAACUCUCCUUCUUAAGCAGCGACGAGGCAGCAGUAGGCAUUUUUUCAUUUAGAGUCUAUCAACUGAGAAUUGAUAAAGUCAUCACAGAACAGCUGUAGUUUGACCCUGACCUGACAAAGGAGAUCGAAAAUGUCUCCUGCGGAGAGAAGCGAGGGGGCUGGGAACAUCCGUUGGCUCAGAAAGAAGCUGCAAGUCGGCUGAGGGCUGACACCCAGGCACUCCGCCGAGUGUGUUUAAUAACUGAGAAGUAAAUAAAGAAAGGGCAGUCAAUAAACAAUCGCGGGUUAAUAAAUUAUUCAUCUUAACAAUACUUCCAGUGUUUGCCCAGAGAAAGGAGACCGUCUUCAGGUUUUCUUCCAACCUGCUCGCCUGCUCUGAAGCAGCCUGGCUGCGGAGCUGUUCACAUUCUGGACAGCAGAGGGAGCUCGUGUUACAUCUAAGACACGGCCGGACU